Molecule: long non-coding RNA, 836 nt
Organism: Helianthus annuus (common sunflower)
Lineage: Eukaryota; Viridiplantae; Streptophyta; Magnoliopsida; Asterales; Asteraceae
Exons: 4
Source: RefSeq, a predicted model, not a curated record
UCCCUCCCAAAGUAUAAUUUAGAAUUUCACAUUCCCUCUCCCCCAAAUCCAUUAACCCUAAAAACAACAACAAUGGCUUCUCGGGAUUCAUAGAGUUACUGUCACCUCCAAAAAACAAAAACAAACCAGAACAACAACCUACAGAAUCAAUCUUCAUCACUUACAGCCACAAAUCCCAGCAUCAUCUAACCGCCAUUAAAGCACAAAAUUCCUCAUCAACACCACCAGAACAACAACCUACAUAAUCAACGAAUGAAACCGCCACAACUCCGGUAGGGUUCGGGUCCGUGUCGACGUUAUCUCUGGCGAAGAAACAGAAAGGAAAAAAGGAAAGAUCUAGAAUUAUUCGACGAGAACCGGUUGAAGCACCUAAGUUUGUUACUCAAAAGAAGGAACAAAGGGCGUCGGAUGAGCAGCAGGGGAGCAACGAGCGUGCUUUUCUUCUUAUGUGGUUAGGGGUAGGUUCGUUCAACAGAAGGAACAAAGGGCGUCGGAUGAGCAGCAGGGGAGCAACGAGCGUGCUUUUCUUCUUACGUGGUUAGGGUUAAGUUCUUUGAUUUUUGUUGAGGGGAUUGCUCUGGUUGCUUCAGGAAAAAGGCGCAUCAGAGAUUGUGUUUAAAGCUAUGGGUAUAGCCAUCAACAAGACUGUUACAAUUGUGGAAUUAAUAAAGAGGCGAAUUGUUGGCCUUCGUUAAAUUACAUCCAUUGGAUCCACAGACAUAACCGACACAUGGGAACCCCUAGAGGAAGGAUUACUUCCUCUGGAGACCACAAGGCAUGUUUCAAUGAUAACUAUAACCCUUUCAAGGCGGAGUUGAAUAUGUCAUUUAUCGGGU